UACGAAGGGGGGCUAGCGUUGCUCGGAAUCACUGGGCGUAAAGGGUGCGUAGGCGGGUUUUUAAGUCAGAGGUGAAAUCCUGGAGCUCAACUCCAGAACUGCCUUUGAUACUGAGAAUCUUGAGUAUGGGAGAGGUGAGUGGAACUGCGAGUGUAGAGGUGAAAUUCGUAGAUAUUCGCAAGAACACCAGUGGCGAAGGCGGCUCACUGGCCCAUAACUGACGCUGAGGCACGAAAGCGUGGGGAGCAA
This 249-nucleotide ribosomal RNA is filed under the name uncultured bacterium. Its description in RNAcentral is "partial 16S ribosomal RNA". It matches the Rfam family "Bacterial small subunit ribosomal RNA", at positions 524 to 771 of the family's 1533-position model. The record is from RNAcentral.